GCGGCAGCGCGAGGCAACCUGGCGGCGAGCGGCGAACGGGUGAGUAAUGCAUCGGAACAUGUCCAAGUCGUGGGGGAUAGCCCGGCGAAAGCCGGAUUAAUACCGCAUAAGCCCGGGAGGGGAAGGCAGGGGACCGCAAGGCCUUGCACGAUUGGGUUGGCCGAUGUCCGAUUAGCUAGUUGGUGAGGUAAAGGCUUACCAAGGCGAUGAUCGGUAGCUGGUCCGAGAGGAUGAUCAGCCACACUGGGACUGAGACACGGCCCAGACUCCUACGGGAGGCAGCAGUGGGGAAUUUUGGACAAUGGGGGCAACCCUGAUCCAGCCAUUCCGCGUGAGUGAAGAAGGCCUUCGGGUUGUAAAGCUCUUUUGUCCGGAGCGAAACGGUACGGGUGAAUAUCCCGUGCUACUGACGGUACCGGAAGAAUAAGCACCGGCUAACUACGUGCCAGCAGCCGCGGUAAUA
RNAcentral lists this ribosomal RNA (463 nucleotides) under uncultured bacterium. RNAcentral describes it as "bacterial SSU rRNA". It matches the Rfam family "Bacterial small subunit ribosomal RNA", at positions 66 to 525 of the family's 1533-position model. The record is from RNAcentral.